Molecule: non-coding RNA, 818 nt
Organism: Theobroma cacao (cacao)
Lineage: Eukaryota; Viridiplantae; Streptophyta; Magnoliopsida; Malvales; Malvaceae
Source: RefSeq, a predicted model, not a curated record
CAACAAGCAAAUGAGCUGCCCUGCAAUGGCUCAACUGCUUCCAACACCCUUUACUACAGGCGUUUCUUCCCUUAUUAUUCGUUUAAUGUUUUGGGGGGCCUUGAUGACGAAGGUAUUCUAUUUUGAGCUUUCAUCACUGGUUUGAGCUUUGCUUUAUAUAUGAUAUUCUUCAUCCAAACCUCUAGGAAAGGGUUGUGUUUUCACAUAUGAUGCUGUUGGUUCCUAUGAGAGGGUUGGAUAUGGCACCCAGGGUACUGGUUCUACACUUAUCAUGCCUUUUUUGGAUAACCAACUGAAGUCUCCCAGCCCUCUCUUGUUGCCUGCCCAGGAUGCCGUUACUCAACUUUCUGAAUCUGAAGCAGUUGAUUUAGUCAGAACUGUUUAUGCCUCAGCAACUGAGAGGGAUAUAUACACUGUUUGCUCUGGAUUCCUGGGAUCUGGGCCUUCAGAUGUUGCCUUCCCUUGAUAGCCUCAUCUUCUCUAGAACUUUGGCUUGGGAGCUUAUUGCAGUCAUACUAACAAUUUUGGUCUUAGAUUCCUAGAAGGGAGUCGCUUUAAAUUGUCAUCCUCAAUGCUGACAGUAUCCGUAGGGAAUACAUGGAUCUUAGGACAGAUUGAUGGUAAUGGAAAAACCAUGAAACUUGAUCUAGUGGAGUACUGACAUGUAACCUUGUGGUUUUACUAAGAAUAUGUAGAGUUUUUUUCUUGUAUGUAGACUAGGUGAUACUUUUGAUUACGAAAUCAACUGUACCUGAAGACUCUGAUGCCUUUGGCCAAAAUAUCUCAAUGGACAAAGAAUGUAUACUUUCACUUUUAUA